This 433-nucleotide ribosomal RNA is filed under the name uncultured bacterium. Its description in RNAcentral is "partial 16S ribosomal RNA". It matches the Rfam family "Bacterial small subunit ribosomal RNA", at positions 29 to 507 of the family's 1533-position model. The record is from RNAcentral.
AACGAACGCUGGCGGCAUGCCUAACACAUGCAAGUCGAACGAGACCUUCGGGUCUAGUGGCGCACGGGUGCGUAACGCGUGGGAACCUGCCCUUAGGUUCGGAAUAACUCCCCGAAAGGGGUGUUAAUACCGGAUAAUGUCUUCGGACCAAAGAUUUAUCGCCUUUGGAUGGGCCCGCGUUGGAUUAGCUAGUUGGUAGGGUAAAAGCCUACCAAGGCGACGAUCCAUAGCUGGUCUGAGAGGAUGAUCAGCCACACUGGGACUGAGACACGGCCCAGACUCCUACGGGAAGCAGCAGUGGGGAAUAUUGGACAAUGGGCGAAAGCCUGAUCCAGCAAUGCCGCGUGAGUGAUGAAGGCCUUAGGGUUGUAAAGCUCUUUUACCCGGGAUGAUAAUGACAGUACCGGGAGAAUAAGCUCCGGCUAACUCCGUG